Molecule: ribosomal RNA, 756 nt
Filed under: uncultured bacterium
Lineage: Bacteria
Description: bacterial SSU rRNA
Rfam family: Bacterial small subunit ribosomal RNA
Source: RNAcentral
AGAGUUUGAUCAUGGCUCAGAUUGAACGCUGGCGGCAGGCCUAACACAUGCAAGUCGAGCGCGAAAGAUCUUCGGAUUGAGUAGAGCGGCGGACGGGUGAGUAACGCGUAGGAAUCUACCCAGUAGUGGGGGACAACUCGGGGAAACUCGAGCUAAUACCGCAUACGCCCUAAGGGGGAAAGCGGGGGAUCUUCGGACCUCGCGCUAUUGGAAGAGCCUGCGUUGGAUUAGCUAGUUGGUGGGGUAAAGGCCUACCAAGGCGACGAUCCAUAGCUGGUCUGAGAGGAUGAUCAGCCACACCGGGACUGAGACACGGCCCGGACUCCUACGGGAGGCAGCAGUGGGGAAUAUUGCGCAAUGGGCGAAAGCCUGACGCAGCCAUGCCGCGUGUGUGAAGAAGGCCUUCGGGCUGUAAAGCACUUUCACUUGGGAAGAAAGGUUCGUAGCUAAUACCUGCGAGCUGUGACAUUACCUUGAGAAGAAGCACCGGCUAACUCCGUGCCAGCAGCCGCGGUAAUACGGAGGGUGCGAGCGUUAAUCGGAAUUACUGGGCGUAAAGCGCGCGUAGGCGGUUUGUUAAGUCGGAUGUGAAAGCCCCGGGCUCAACCUGGGAAUUGCACCCGAUACUGGCCGACUGGAGUGCGAGAGAGGGAGGUAGAAUUCCACGUGUAGCGGUGAAAUGCGUAGAUAUGUGGAGGAAUACCGGUGGCGAAGGCGGCCUCCUGGCUCGACACUGACGCUGAGGUGCGAAAGCGU